GCCUCCGUAGCCCAACGGUAGAGGCAUACUCCUUAAAAGAGUAGAAGUGUCGGUUCAAAUCCGACCGGGGGCA
Molecule: transfer RNA, 73 nt
Filed under: Actinomadura soli
Lineage: Bacteria; Bacillati; Actinomycetota; Actinomycetes; Streptosporangiales; Thermomonosporaceae
Rfam family: tRNA
About the family: Transfer RNA (tRNA) molecules are approximately 80 nucleotides in length. Their secondary structure includes four short double-helical elements and three loops (D, anti-codon, and T loops).
Source: Rfam by way of RNAcentral